AGAGUUUGAUCCUGGCUCAGAGCGAACGCUGGCGGCGUGCUUAACACAUGCAAGUCGAACGCGCAGCAUUCUGUAGCAAUACAGGGUGUGGGCGCGUGGCGAACGGGUGCGUAACACGUGGAUAACCUUCCUUGAGGUGGGGAAUAACCCAGUGAAAAUUGGGCUAAUACCGCAUAACAUCGCGAUGGCACAUGCUGUUGCGAUCAAAGGCGCAAGUCGCCACAAGAGGGAUCCGCGGCCGAUUAGCUUGUUGGCGAGGUAAUGGCUCACCAAGGCAAUGAUCGGUAGCCGGACUGAGAGGUUGGCCGGCCACACUGGAACUGAGACACGGUCCAGACUCCUACGGGAGGCAGCAGUGGGGAAUCUUGCACAAUGGACGAAAGUCUGAUGCAGCAACGCCGCGUGGGGGAUGAAGCUUCUCGGAGUGUAAACCCCUUUCGACCCGGAAGAAUGCCCGCAAGGGUAUGACGGUACGGGUAUAAGAAGCCCCGGCUAACUACGUGCCAGCAGCCGCGGUAAUACGUAGGGGGCCAGCGUUGCUCGGAAUUACUGGGCGUAAAGGGUCCGUAGGCGGUGUAGCAAGUCGAUAGUGAAAUCUCUGGGCUUAACCCAGAGGCUGCUAACGAAACUGCUGUGCUAGAGUGUGAGAGAGGCGAGUGGAAUUACGGGUGUAGCGGUGAAAUGCGUAGAUAUCCGUAGGAACAUCCGAGGCGAAGGCGGCUCGCUGGAUCACAACUGACGCUGAGGGACGAAAGCUAGGGGAGCAAACAGGAUUAGAUACCCCCGUAGUCC
This 792-nucleotide ribosomal RNA is filed under the name uncultured bacterium. RNAcentral describes it as "bacterial SSU rRNA". It matches the Rfam family "Bacterial small subunit ribosomal RNA", at positions 8 to 796 of the family's 1533-position model. The record is from RNAcentral.